CGAGAGAGCUCAGUGUCGCCAAUAUGG
This 27-nucleotide small RNA is filed under the name Bombyx mori (domestic silkworm). Its description in RNAcentral is "ovarian small RNA-14226". The record is from RNAcentral. Lineage: Eukaryota; Metazoa; Arthropoda; Insecta; Lepidoptera; Bombycidae.